RNAcentral lists this ribosomal RNA (425 nucleotides) under uncultured bacterium. RNAcentral's name for it is "partial 16S ribosomal RNA". It matches the Rfam family "Bacterial small subunit ribosomal RNA", at positions 354 to 796 of the family's 1533-position model. The record is from RNAcentral.
GUGGGGAAUCUUGCGCAAUGGGCGAAAGCCUGACGCAGCCAUGCCGCGUGGAUGAUGAAGGUCUUAGGAUUGUAAAAUCCUUUCACCGGUGAAGAUAAUGACUGUAGCCGGAGAAGAAGCCCCGGCUAACUUCGUGCCAGCAGCCGCGGUAAUACGAAGGGGGCUAGCGUUGCUCGGAUUUACUGGGCGUAAAGGGCGCGUAGGCGGACAUUUAAGUCAGGGGUGAAAUCCCGGGGCUCAACCUCGGAACUGCCUUUGAUACUGGGUGUCUUGAGUAUGAGAGAGGUGUGUGGAACUCCGAGUGUAGAGGUGAAAUUCGUAGAUAUUCGGAAGAACACCAGUGGCGAAGGCGACACACUGGCUCAUUACUGACGCUGAGGCGCGAAAGCGUGGGGAGCAAACAGGAUUAGAUACCCCGGUAGUCC